AAUGCAAAGCACUGGGCUGACAGGGGAAAGUGGAGGGGAGCAGUGACUGGAACGUGGGGGAUGAGGGACUCUCCCCGGUCCUUUGUCUGGCAAUGUUUGGGUCCCAGGGCUGCGUGGUGAGUCUGUGUGGGUCUGGAACGUGUUGACUGUGUCUUGUGUGGGAACGCAGAGUACCCACAGCCCUUGGUCAUUCACGUGGGUCCUGUGUGGGGAGGUGGAGGCAGCAGGGCGGCGGCUGUGGUCUCCUUCUCCCUGGGUAGAGCCUGCCUUCCAGCACUCUGAUUCUGGUGGAGAGUCCUGACAUGUUUGGGAGUCCUGCCAUCCAGUCAAGUUCUCUUUGUUUAACCCUUACACUACCUACCCGUAACUUCUUCCCUUAUCAAGCACAGGGCCUGAGCACUCCUCGCCCCCAUUCGCUGAUGGAUGACAGCAGCUGGAGGGGAAUGUUCUGAGGGACUGGGGAGCUGCAGGCAGGGGCCCAGGUUUGCUCUGGAGGGCACGAGUCACCCAGGACCACUGGCUGGGUUAGUGAAAUGGCUCCUUUGCCAAGCGUCAACAUGUGGUAGAUCUAAUUUGAAAUGAGUUCCAGAGCUGAGGCAAGGCUAUGAUAGAACACAAGGCAAACAGCUGAAAACUGUAGUCAAAAGGCAGGGAAGCUGAGAAAGUGAUUCAAAGAAGCCCAUCUGAAAUCGGAAGCAACAGGGACGCUUUUAGGGAGGUCCUGGGUGCUUCAGAACACGGGCCUUCAGCUGAGACCUCUCCAACUGCCUGGACCCUGGCUGCUGGCAGACCAAGUUGCUCAACACCCAGAAUUAACUUGGGACUGGAGUCCCCAUGUGAGGCCACGACAGGAGGCACACAGCAGGACCUCUCAGAAGGGCCUGGAGGGGAAAGAUCCCUCAGCUCCAGCCUGUAAAGAAGGUGCACUGGGAUGCCCACACAAAGAGGAUUCCCUUGGCAGCAAGGAAAACCAUUAGCCCUGUGCUGUUUAUAGAUAGCAGAGAAUAAAGAGAAAUAAGAAGCA
RNAcentral lists this long non-coding RNA (1024 nucleotides) under Homo sapiens (human). RNAcentral's name for it is "HSALNT0366013". Lineage: Eukaryota; Metazoa; Chordata; Mammalia; Primates; Hominidae. The record is from RNAcentral.